CCUAUAUAAAUACAUAAACCUAUUACCUUCCUUUCUUGCAUGUUCUGAAUUAGCUUAAAAACAGAGGAAAAUACAAUGAUAGUUUUUUUUUUUUUUCCUUUUUGCUUCGGAUUUUCUGCCACAUUAAUAAUUUUAUAUACCUCAUUUCAAUCUUAUAACCUUUUUGCUUCGGAUUUUCUGCCACAUUUUUUUUUUUUCCUUUUUGCUUCGGAUUUUCUGCCACAUUAAUAAUUUUAUAUACCUCAUUUCAAUCUUAUAACAGCCCCAAGAGUAUUCAUUUAGCUUAUUAACUUGACAUACAAUUCUUCGCUUCAUCAGAUUUUACAGUAAAAUUCAGCAUAGUUAAUUUCACCAAAUUUCUUUCUUUUUUUCCUCUUUUGUCCCUUUAAAUUCAUUGAGAGACAUAUCUCUACAUCCAAAGCACUAAGUCAACCGUACAACUACUCGAUAUAUGUUACCAUGUGUGUGUUUGUUUUAAAUUGCAUAAUAAAUGUUUUCUCAUAUUCCAGCAUACUUUUACCGAAGUUGCAGCACCUAUUUGUACACUAAGAAUGUAGUGCUAUUAUCGCUAUUACAAUUUCAUGAUCAGUGGUUAAAUAACGUCUUCUUCCCUUAAUUGAUCUUCACCAUUGAAUUCUUUAUGCCGUAAAUCGAACAGAGCAUAUCCAGACUGUUGUAAUGUUCUGAAAGCUUUUACUUCAACCACUGGCCUUUGAUGAAUAAGCACAAAUUCAAGUUGCAGCUGUCCUGCCAAGACUGACCCAUUGAGUCAUUUUAUCAAAUAGUUUAACGUUUCGACCAAACACCUUGUUUUAACCGAUAAACUAUACACAAGUUUGUUUUAACCAAUAAACUGUCAGACAAGUUUGUAGUUACGUACAUUAUGUAUAACUAAACUCGCCACAUUAUCAUUGGUUGAUUAUAUUAUUCUGAUGUACAAAAGAUUUUCUCUUAUUUUUCUUUUCUUUGUUCUUUCUAAGCUCCAAUUCUGUUUAUUCAAUUUUCAUUUG
This 1010-nucleotide long non-coding RNA is filed under the name Citrus sinensis (sweet orange). RNAcentral's name for it is "long non-coding RNA (CSIN_LNC004861)". The record is from RNAcentral. Lineage: Eukaryota; Viridiplantae; Streptophyta; Magnoliopsida; Sapindales; Rutaceae.